Molecule: unclassified non-coding RNA, 248 nt
Filed under: Hevea brasiliensis (rubber tree)
Lineage: Eukaryota; Viridiplantae; Streptophyta; Magnoliopsida; Malpighiales; Euphorbiaceae
Source: RNAcentral
CCUCUCCUUUGCAGCAAUAAAUAAGUCAUGUAUAGGCCCAUACAUAGCAUUGUGAUUUGUUCUGUUAGGAGGCUGUGGGAAACUCGACAAGCCCUCUUUUAUCCAUCGCCAUUGUUCCUCAAUGCCCAAUGCUCCAGGAAUGAAAGAAAAACCGGGGCAAUUUUGCAAGCGGAAGACGGGACGGUCAAAACCGCAUUGAAACGCGACAAUUCCAGGAGGAAGAUCACCGUUCUGGUCGUAAGAUUCCG